RNAcentral lists this RNase P RNA (413 nucleotides) under Streptomyces sp. DG2A-72. RNAcentral describes it as "RNase P RNA component class A". It matches the Rfam family "Bacterial RNase P class A". From Rfam's summary of the family: Ribonuclease P (RNase P) is a ubiquitous endoribonuclease, found in archaea, bacteria and eukarya as well as chloroplasts and mitochondria. Lineage: Bacteria; Bacillati; Actinomycetota; Actinomycetes; Kitasatosporales; Streptomycetaceae. The record is from RNAcentral.
CGAGCCGGGCGGACGGCCGCGUGGAGGUUCCUAUGGACCUCCCCGAGGAACGUCCGGGCUCCACAGGGCAGGGUGGUGGCUAACGGCCACCCGGGGUGACCCGCGGGACAGUGCCACAGAAAGCAAACCGCCGGGGAUCUCGGUCCUCGGUAAGGGUGAAACGGUGGUGUAAGAGACCACCAGCGCCUGAGGCGACUCAGGCGGCUAGGUAAACCCCACCCGGAGCAAGGUCAAGAGGAGCCGCCUUCUCGAAAGAGGGGCGUCUCUGCGCGGACGUUCGAGGGCUGCCCGCCCAAGUCCGCGGGUAGACCGCACGAGGCCGGCGGCAACGCCGGUCCUAGAUGGAUGGCCGUCGCCCUGGGCUCCGCGAGGAACCUGGGGGACAGAACCCGGCGUACAGCCCGACUCGUCUG